UACGAACUGUGCAAACGUUAUUCGGAUUCACUGGGCUUAAAGGGUGCGUAGGCGGCCAUGUAAGUAGGGUGUGAAAUCCCCCGGCUUAACCGGGGAACUGCGCCCUAAACUGUGUGGCUUGAGUGAGAUAGGGGUGUGUGGAACUUCCGGUGGAGCGGUGAAAUGCGUAGAGAUCGGGAGGAACACCAGCGGCGAAGGCGGCGACCUGGACGAGCACUGACACUCAACAACGAAAGCGUGGGGAGCAAACAGG
RNAcentral lists this ribosomal RNA (253 nucleotides) under uncultured bacterium. RNAcentral describes it as "partial 16S ribosomal RNA". It matches the Rfam family "Bacterial small subunit ribosomal RNA", at positions 524 to 776 of the family's 1533-position model. The record is from RNAcentral.